RNAcentral lists this ribosomal RNA (417 nucleotides) under uncultured bacterium. RNAcentral describes it as "bacterial SSU rRNA". It matches the Rfam family "Bacterial small subunit ribosomal RNA", at positions 355 to 786 of the family's 1533-position model. The record is from RNAcentral.
UGGGGAAUAUUGGGCAAUGGGCGAAAGCCUUACCCAGCAACGCCGCGUGAGGGAAGAAGGUUUUCGGAUUGUAAACCUCUGUCCUGGGGGACGAAGGAAGUGACGGUACCCCGGGAGGAAGCCCCGGCUAACUACGUGCCAGCAGCCGCGGUAAUACGUAGGGGGCGAGCGUUGUCCGGAAUUAUUGGGCGUAAAGGGCGCGUAGACGGCCGAGUAAGUUAUAGGUGAAAGCCCAUCUUUCAAGGAUGGAAUUGCCAGUAAUACUGCCUGGCUUGAGUGCAGGAGAGGGAAGCGGAAUUCCUAGUGUAGCGGUGAAAUGCGUAGAUAUUGGGAGGAACACCAGUGGCGAAGGCGGCUUUCUGGACUGUAACUGACGUUGAGGCGCGAAAGCGUGGGGAGCAAACAGGAUUAGAUACC